AGUGAACGCUGGCGGUAGGCCUAACACAUGCAAGUCGAACGGCAGCACAGUAAGAGCUUGCUCUUACGGGUGGCGAGUGGCGGACGGUUGAGGAAUACAUCGGAAUCUACUUUUUCGUGGGGGAUAACGUAGGAACACUUACGCUAAUACCGCAUACGACCUACGGGUGAAAGCAGGGGAUCUUCGGACCUUGCGCGAUUGAAUGAGCCGAUGUCGGAUUAGCUAGUUGGCGGGGUAAAGGCCCACCAAGGCGACGAUCCGUAGCUGGUCUGAGAGGAUGAUCAGCCACACUGGAACUGAGACACGGUCCAGACUCCUACGGGAGGCAGCAGUGGGGAAUAUUGGACAAUGGGCGCAAGCCUGAUCCAGCCAUACCGCGUGGGUGAAGAAGGCCUUCGGGUUGUAAAGCCCUUUUGUUGGGAAAGAAAAGCAGCAGGUUAAUACCCCGCUGUUCUGACGGUACCCAAAGAAUAAGCACCGGCUAACUUCGUG
RNAcentral lists this ribosomal RNA (492 nucleotides) under uncultured bacterium. Its description in RNAcentral is "partial 16S ribosomal RNA". It matches the Rfam family "Bacterial small subunit ribosomal RNA", at positions 29 to 507 of the family's 1533-position model. The record is from RNAcentral.